RNAcentral lists this ribosomal RNA (434 nucleotides) under uncultured bacterium. RNAcentral's name for it is "bacterial SSU rRNA". It matches the Rfam family "Bacterial small subunit ribosomal RNA", at positions 8 to 429 of the family's 1533-position model. The record is from RNAcentral.
AGAGUUUGAUCCUGGCUCAGAGCGAACGCUGGCGGCGUGCCUAACACAUGCAAGUCGGACGUGAAAGGGAGCAAUCCCAAGUAAAGUGGCGUACGGGUGAGUAACACGUAGGUAAUCUACCCUAGAAUUUGGAAUAACCUGCCGAAAGGCGGGCUAAUACUGGAUAGAGCGACGGAAUCCGUAAUUGGGUUUUUCGGGAAAGGGAGGAAGUAAUUCCCCUCGUUUUGGGAUGAGCCUGCGUCUCAUUAGCUAGUUGGUAGGGUAAAGGCCUACCAAGGCUUUGAUGGGUAGCUGGUCUGAGAGGAUGAUCAGCCACACUGGAACUGAAACACGGUCCAGACUCCUACGGGAGGCAGCAGUGGGGAAUCUUGCGCAAUGGACGAAAGUCUGACGCAGCCACGCCGCGUGAGUGAAGAAGGCCUUCGGGUUGUAAA